This 167-nucleotide unclassified non-coding RNA is filed under the name uncultured fungus. RNAcentral's name for it is "sequence contains ITS1, 5.8S rRNA gene". Lineage: Eukaryota; Fungi. The record is from RNAcentral.
UUGAUUUAUUAAUCGUGUUACUCAGAAGAUACUGUAUAAAACAAGAGUUUGGGGGUCCUCUGGCGGGCCGCCGGAGCGGGCACCGCCGAGGCAACGAUAGGUAUGUUCACAGGGGUUUGGGAGUUGUAAACUCGGUAAUGAUCCCUCCGCUGGUUCACCAACGGAGA